Molecule: ribosomal RNA, 494 nt
Filed under: uncultured bacterium
Lineage: Bacteria
Description: partial 16S ribosomal RNA
Rfam family: Bacterial small subunit ribosomal RNA
Source: RNAcentral
GACGAACGCUGGCGGCGUGCUUAACACAUGCAAGUCGAACGGUGAAGCGCCUUCCUUUUUGGUGGGUGUGGAUGCGUGGCGAACGGGUGCGUAACACGUGAGUAACCUGCCCCCUUCUUUUGGAUAACCGCAUGAAAGUGUGGCUAAUACGGGAUAUUCUGGGUCUGUCGCAUGAUGGGUCUGGGACAGCUAUUGUUUAGGUGGGGGAUGGGCUCGCGGCCUAUCAGCUUGUUGGUGGGGUGAUGGCCUACCAAGGCGGUGGCGGGUAGACGGCCUGGGAGGGUGGACGGUCACACUGGGACUGAGGCACGGCCCAGACUCCUACGGGAGGCAGCAGUGGGGAAUAGGGCACAAUGGGCGCAAGCCUGAUGCAGCGACGCCGCGGAAGGGAUGGAGGCCUGCGGGUUGUGAACCUCUUUCGCCAGUGAAGCAGGCCUGCCUCGUUUGUGGGGGGGUUGACGGUAGCUGGAUAAGAAGCGCCGGCUAACUACGUG